Non-coding RNA from Macaca mulatta (Rhesus monkey), 4149 nucleotides. The record is from RefSeq and is a predicted model, not a curated record. NCBI's taxonomy places the organism in Eukaryota, Metazoa, Chordata, Mammalia, Primates, Cercopithecidae.
CCCUUGUAUCCAAGCUGUUUGGAGGGCUUGGAGAUGCUGAUAGGACUGUCAGAUUCGGGGGUGGUGAUAUGUGUGCAAGUAAGGCACCUUAGUGUCGCUUUUAGAAUAUAGGUGUGGAAAUGAGAAUAGCUCUGGAAGCCCCAGGAGUUUAGGAGAAAAGAAAGAGCCCAGGAAAAGAGAAAGGCCGUAUUGCUGAACGCCACACCCUUGCCGCACCUAUUAACUAGGGGCUAACGAAAGAAAGGGUGUCGGAAUAUGAUGGAGAAGGCCGGUCGACAGUGACGUCGUGGGCGACGCCGGGUUGUGAGCGACCUUUCGAGCUUCCUCGAGUCCCUGAGUCUCUGUAGUGUCUCAGCUCCUGGAUGUCCUCCCUUAAAGGAGAGGAACAAUGCGCGCCGACUAGACUAGUCUCUUAGUUUCUUCGCCAGCGCAGACAAAUACGGUUUCAGUCCAAAAAACUACCAUUCCCAGAAGACAGCGGGACGUUCCUUGCUGCAUCUCUAUUGGUUUGCGUUUGUUACUCCCAGCCAAUAGAAAGUGAACUUCUUGACAAGUGCCAAAAUGGCGAUGCCUACGACCUAGAAGUGGAUUGUGCGUUGGCCGUCACAGCUGCCACCUGCUCAGAGUGAAAUCAUGAAGGUGGUCAACCUGAAGCAAGCCAUUUUGCAAGCCUGGAAGGAACGUUGGAGUGACUACCAGUGGGCAAUCAACAUGAAGAAAUUCUUUCCUAAAGGAGCCACCUGGGACAUUCUCAACCUGGCAGAUGCAUUACUAGAGCAGGCCAUGAUUGGACCAUCCCCCAAUCCUCUCAUCUUGUCCUACCUGAAGUAUGCCAUUAGUUCCCAGAUGGUGUCCUACUCUUCUGUCCUCACAGCCAUCAGUAAGUUUGAUGACUUUUCUCGGGACCUGUGUGUCCAGGCAUUGCUAGACAUCAUGGACAUGUUUUGUGACCGUCUGAGCUGUCACGGCAAAGCCGAGGAGUGCAUCGGACUGUGCCGAGCCCUUCUUAGCGCCCUCCACUGGCUGCUGCGCUGCACGGCAGCCUCUGCAGAGCGGCUCCGGGAGGGGCUGGAGGCUGGCACUCCAGCCGCUGGGGAGAAGCAGCUUGCCAUGUGCCUUCAGCGCCUGGAGAAAACCCUCAGCAGCACCAAGAACCGGGCCCUGCUGCACAUCGCCAAACUAGAGGAGGCCUCAUUGCACACAUCCCAGGGACUUGGGCAGGGUGGCACCCGAGCCAAUCAACCAACAGCUUCCUGGACUGCCAUCGAGCAUUCUCUCUUGAAACUUGGAGAGAUCCUGGCCAAUCUCAGCAACCCCCAGCUCCGGAGCCAGGCUGAGCAGUGCAGCACCCUCAUUAGGAGCAUCCCCAUGAUGCUGUCUGUGCAUGCGGAGCAGAUGAACAAGACCGGCUUCCCCACUGUCCACGCCGUGAUCCUGCUCGAGGGCACCAUGAACCUGACAGGCGAGACACAGUCCCUGGUGGAGCAGCUGACGAUGGUGAAGCGCAUGCAGCAUAUCCCCACCCCACUUUUUGUCCUGGAGAUCUGGAAAGCUUGCUUCGUGGGGCUCAUUGAGUCUCCCGAGGGUACGGAGGAGCUCAAGUGGACAGCUUUCACUUUCCUCAAGAUUCCACAGGUUUUGGUGAAGUUGAAGAAGUACUCUCAUGGGGACAAGGACUUCACUGAGGAUGUCAACUGUGCUUUUGAGUUCCUGCUGAAACUCACACCCUUGUUGGACAAAGCUGACCAGCGCUGCAACUGUGACUGUACAAACUUCCUGCUCCAAGAAUGUGGCAAGCAGGGGCUUCUGUCUGAGGCCAGUGUCAACAGCCUUAUGGCUAAGCGCAAAGCAGACCGAGAGCACGCACCCCAGCAGAAAUCGGGAGAGAAUGCCAACAUCCAGCCCAACAUCCAGCUGAUCCUCCGGGCAGAGCCCACUGUCACAAACAUCCUCAAGACGAUGGAUGCAGACCACUCUAAGUCCCCGGAGGGACUGCUGGGAGUCCUGGGCCACAUGCUGUCCGGGAAGAGUCUGGACUUGCUGCUGGCUGCCGCUGCUGCCACUGGAAAGCUGAAAUCCUUCGCCCGGAAAUUCAUCAAUUUGAAUGAAUUCACAACCUAUGGCAGCGAAGAAAGCACCAAACCGGCCUCCGUCCGGGCCCUGCUGUUUGACAUCUCCUUCCUCAUGCUGUGCCAUGUGGCCCAGACCUAUGGUUCAGAGGUGAUUCUGUCUGAGUCGCGCACAGGAGCUGACGUGCCGUUCUUCGAGACCUGGAUGCAGACCUGCAUGCCUGAGGAGGGCAAGAUCCUGAACCCUGACCACCCCUGCUUCCGCCCCGACUCCACCAAAGUGGAGUCCCUGGUGGCCCUGCUCAACAACUCCUCGGAGAUGAAGCUGGUGCAGAUGAAGUGGCACGAGGCCUGUCUCAGCAUCUCAGCCGCCAUCUUGGAAAUCCUCAAUGCCUGGGAGAAUGGGGUCCUGGCCUUCGAGUCCAUCCAGAAAAUCACUGAUAACAUCAAAGGGAAGGUAUGCAGUCUGGCGGUGUGUGCUGUGGCUUGGCUUGUGGCCCACGUCCGGAUGCUGGGGCUGGAUGAGCGUGAGAAGUCGCUGCAGAUGAUCCGCCAGCUGGCAGGGCCGCUGUUUAGUGAGAACACCCUGCAGUUCUACAAUGAGAGGGUGGUGAUCAUGAACUCGAUCCUGGAGCGCAUGUGUGCCGACGUGCUGCAGCAGACAGCCACGCAGAUCAAGUUUCCCUCCACCGGGGUGGACACGAUGCCCUACUGGAACCUGCUGCCCCCUAAGCGGCCCAUCAAGGAGGUGCUGACGGACAUCUUUGCCAAAGUGCUGGAGAAGGGCUGGGUGGACAGCCGCUCCAUCCACAUCUUCGACACUCUGCUGCACAUGGGCGGCGUCUACUGGUUCUGCAACAACCUGAUCAAGGAGCUGCUGAAGGAGACGCGGAAGGAGCACGCGCUGCGGGCAGUGGAACUGCUCUACUCCAUCUUCUGCCUGGACAUGCAGCAAGUGACCCUGGUCCUGCUGGGCCACAUCUUGCCUGGCCUGCUCACUGACUCCUCCAAGUGGCACAGCCUCAUGGACCCCCCAGGCACUGCUCUUGCCAAGCUGGCCGUAUGGUGUGCCCUCAGUUCCUACUCCUCCCACAAGGGGCAGGCAUCCACCCGCCAAAAGAAGAGACACCGCGAAGACAUCGAGGACUAUAUCAGCCUCUUCCCCCUGGACGAUGUGCAGCCUUCGAAGUUGAUGCGACUGCUGAGCUCCAAUGAGGAUGAUGCCAACAUCCUUUCAAGCCCCAACCGGUCCAUGAGCAGCUCCCUCUCAGCCUCUCAGCUCCACACCGUCAACAUGCGGGACCCUCUGAACCGAGUCCUGGUCCCGCCUUCUCCCAGAGUGUGACCUCACCCCCUCUCAUGGAACUCCCUCCUGUCACUCUCCACAGCCAACCUCUUCCUGCUCAUCUCCUCCAUCCUGGGGUCGCGCACCGCUGGGCCCCACACCCAGUUCGUGCAGUGGUUCAUGGAGGAGUGUGUGGACUGCCUGGAGCAGGGUGGCCGCGGCAGUGUCCUGCAGUUCAUGCCCUUCACCACCGUGUCGGAACUGGUGAAGGUGUCAGCCAUGUCCAGCCCCAAGGUGGUUCUGGCCAUCACGGACCUCAGCCUGCCCCUGGGCCGCCAGGUGGCUGCUAAAGCCAUUGCUGCACUCUGAGGAGCUUGGCAUGGCCGCAGUGGGGGCUGGGGGCUGGGGACUGGCACAGCCCCAGGUGCCUCCAAGGGAAGCAGUGAGGAAAGAUGAGGCAUCGUGGCUCACAUCCGCUCCACAUGGUGCAAGAGCCUCUGGCAGCUUCUAAUUCCCCGCUUCUGACUCCUGACCUCCAGGAUGUCUCCUGGUUUCCUCUUUUGAAAUUUCUUCUCUGUCUGCCAGCACCUGAGGAGUGUGAGCAGCCUGGACCACAAGCCCAGUGGUCACCCCUGUGUGCGCCCGCCCCAGCCCAGGGGUAAUCUUACUUCUGAGGAACUUUCUAGACGCAGAGAGUGUGUGUGUGUGUGUGUGUGUGUGUGUAUAUAUUUUGUAAUAUGUGAGGGAAAUCUACCUUUGUUCAUGUGUAAAUAAAGCUCCUCGUGGAUCCCUUUG